This 400-nucleotide ribosomal RNA is filed under the name uncultured bacterium. Its description in RNAcentral is "bacterial SSU rRNA". It matches the Rfam family "Bacterial small subunit ribosomal RNA", at positions 359 to 776 of the family's 1533-position model. The record is from RNAcentral.
GAAUAUUGGGCAAUGGGCGCAAGCCUGACCCAGCCAUGCCGCGUGAGUGACGAAGGCCUUAGGGUUGUAAAGCUCUUUUGGCGGGGACGAUAAUGACGGUACCCGCAGAAUAAGCCCCGGCUAACUUCGUGCCAGCAGCCGCGGUAAUACGAAGGGGGCUAGCGUUGUUCGGAAGCACUGGGCGUAAAGCGCACGUAGGCGGACUUUCAAGUCAGGGGUGAAAUCCCGGGGCUCAACCUCGGAACUGCCUUUGAUACUGUUGGUCUCGAGUCCGAUAGAGGUGGGUGGAAUUCCUAGUGUAGAGGUGAAAUUCGUAGAUAUUAGGAAGAACACCGGUGGCGAAGGCGGCCCACUGGAUCGGUACUGACGCUGAGGUGCGAAAGCGUGGGGAGCAAACAGG